Molecule: non-coding RNA, 31 nt
Filed under: Homo sapiens (human)
Lineage: Eukaryota; Metazoa; Chordata; Mammalia; Primates; Hominidae
Source: RNAcentral
UCUGCAAAACGCUACGUUUCCUCUAAAGGGU